This is a long non-coding RNA of Nasonia vitripennis (jewel wasp), 872 nucleotides long. RefSeq lists it as uncharacterized. The transcript has 3 exons. Lineage: Eukaryota; Metazoa; Arthropoda; Insecta; Hymenoptera; Pteromalidae. The record is from RefSeq and is a predicted model, not a curated record.
GCUGCUGACAUUUCGCUUUGCUUCUGCUGUAGGCGAACAAUCUAUGCUAAGGACACGAAUAAUUGCGGCAUUUGUGAAUCAAUAGCACUCAAAUUAGCCACGCAUUACUGUACACAAAGAAUAUCGACAACGCAAAAAAGAUGCUACUCAAUCAAGUACUACCGUAAAUUGCAAAAGUGGCGCUAUACGCAGUAACGCUGAAAACUGCAGAUAAUAUCGACACUGAAACAAAUGACGCUCCAGAAACGAGUAUUUCAGUCAAUCGCAAAACAGAUGCUCAACGCUCGAAGGAAUACCAAAUACAAAAAAAAUCUUCUCAAGCAAGUGCAAGUGCCACCGAAAUAUCAAAACGUAAUGCUGAACGCUGCAGAGAAUAUCGACAACGAAAAAAACUAGUCAGAAAUAGCUGAAAUAUGCUCGGCUCACUGCAUUUUAGAAGAUGAUCAAAUAUGUAUCAUGUCGGAUCAUUACAGAUAUGAUUUAAUUUAUCCAUAGAUCACUACUUGCAUACACUGAGGUGGGAGCUCGAGAUGACCAUGAAAUGCUACUGAUUUUAGCAGGAAAUUUCAAUGUUAACUUUGCCGACGAAAGUGUACAACUAUUAAUUACAUUUCGCAAAGAUAAAUUUAAGUUAGAAAUGAAUAAUGAUUCGUAACGAUCAACUACUGAGUACAGCACAACAUUAGAUGUAAUAUUUUCGAGAUUUUUAUAUAAGAUAGAUUUAAAAACAUUCGUAUCAUAUUUUAGUUACCAUAAACUAAUUGCUUCUUUUGUUGAAUCAAAAAAUGAACAUGCCUGUGAUUCUACUGUACGAUAAAUGAAGCUGUAAAUAUAGUUUGUACAAAAUAAAUUUCUAUACAAAUAACAAUAAA